CCUACGGGAGGCAGCAGUGGGGAAUCUUGCGCAAUGGGCGAAAGCCUGACGCAGCAACGCCGCGUGCGGGAAGAAGGCUUUCGGGCUGUAAACCGCUUUCAGCAGGAACGAAAAUGACGGUACCUGCAGAAGAAGGAGCGGCCAACUAUGUGCCAGCAGCCGCGGUGAUACAUAGGCUUCAAGCGUUGUCCGGAUUUAUUGGGCGUAAAGAGUUCGUAGGCGGUCAAGUAAGUCGGGUGUGAAAAUUCUGGGCUCAACCCAGAGACGCCACCCGAUACUGCUUAACUUGAGUUCGAUAGGGGAGUGGGGAAUUCCUAGUGUAGCGGUGAAAUGCGCAGAUAUUAGGAGGAACACCGGUGGCGAAGGCGCCACUCUGGAUCGAUACUGACGCUGAGGAACGAAAGCAUGGGUAGCAAACAGGAUUAGAUACCCUGGUAGUCCAUGCCGUAAACGGUGGGCACUAGGUGUGGGUUUCUAUUAACGAAAUCCGCGCCGUCGCUAACGCAUUAAGUGCCCCGCCUGGGGAGUACGGUCGCAAGACUAAAACUUAAAGGAAUUGACGG
This 563-nucleotide ribosomal RNA is filed under the name uncultured bacterium. RNAcentral describes it as "bacterial SSU rRNA". It matches the Rfam family "Bacterial small subunit ribosomal RNA", at positions 338 to 916 of the family's 1533-position model. The record is from RNAcentral.